GAUGAACGCUGGCGGUGUGCCUAAUACAUGCGAGUCGAGCGAACAGACGAGGAGCUUACUCCUCUGACGUUAGCGGCGGACGGGUGAGUAACACGUGGAUAACCUACCUAUAAGACUGGGAUAACUUCGGGAAACCGGAGCUAAUACCGGAUAACAUGUUGAACCGCAUGGUUCAACAGUGAAAGACGGUCUUGCUGUCACUUAUAGAUGGAUCCGCGUCGCAUUAGCUAGUUGGUAAGGUAACGGCUUACCAAGGCAACGAUGCGUAGCCGACCUGAGAGGGUGAUCGGCCACACUGGAACUGAGACACGGUCCAGACUCCUACGGGAGGCAGCAGUAGGGAAUCUUCCGCAAUGGGCGAAAGCCUGACGGAGCAACGCCGCGUGAGUGAAGAAGGUCUUCGGAUCGUAAAACUCUGUUAUUAGGGAAGAACAAAUGUGUAAGUAACUAUGCACGUCUUGACGGUACCUAAUCAGAAAGCCACGGCUAACUACGUG
Molecule: ribosomal RNA, 497 nt
Filed under: uncultured bacterium
Lineage: Bacteria
Description: partial 16S ribosomal RNA
Rfam family: Bacterial small subunit ribosomal RNA
Source: RNAcentral